GGAGGUGGCUGGGGCCCGGUGGCUCCCGCGGUCUUCAAAACCGUUGUGCCGCUUCACGGCGGCGGGUGGGUUCGACUCCCAUGCACCUCCGCCA
Molecule: transfer RNA, 94 nt
Filed under: Candidatus Hydrogenedentes bacterium ADurb.Bin101
Lineage: Bacteria; Pseudomonadati; Candidatus Hydrogenedentota
Also listed under: 2 other names
Description: tRNA-Sec
Rfam family: Selenocysteine transfer RNA
Source: RNAcentral